This 119-nucleotide ribosomal RNA is filed under the name Pomacea canaliculata. Lineage: Eukaryota; Metazoa; Mollusca; Gastropoda; Architaenioglossa; Ampullariidae. The record is from RNAcentral.
GCCUACGGCCAUACCACGUUGAACACACCGGUUCUCGUCCGAUCACCGAAGUUAAGCAACGUCGGGCCUGGUUAGUACUUGGAUGGGUGACCGCCUGGGAACACCGGGUGCUGUAGGCA